This 246-nucleotide ribosomal RNA is filed under the name uncultured Solirubrobacterales bacterium. RNAcentral describes it as "partial 16S ribosomal RNA". It matches the Rfam family "Bacterial small subunit ribosomal RNA", at positions 796 to 1041 of the family's 1533-position model. Lineage: Bacteria; Bacillati; Actinomycetota; Thermoleophilia; Solirubrobacterales. The record is from RNAcentral.
CACGCCGUAAACGAUGGGUACUAGAUGUGGGAGGUGUCGACUCCUUCCGUAUCGUAGCUAACGCACUAAGUACCCCGCCUGGGGAGUACGGCCGCAAGGCUAAAACUCAAAGGAAUUGACGGGGGCCCGCACAAGCAGCGGAGCAUGUGGUUUAAUUCGACGCAACGCGAAGAACCUUACCUGGGCUUGACAUGUAUCUGACCGCCAUAGAGAUAUGGCUUCCCUUCGGGGCAGAUUCACAGGUGG